UGGGGAAUAUUGCACAAUGGGCGCAAGCCUGAUGCAGCCAUGCCGCGUGUAUGAAGAAGGCCUUCGGGUUGUAAAGUACUUUCAGCGGGGAGGAAGGUGUUGUGGUUAAUAACCACAGCAAUUGACGUUACCCGCAGAAGAAGCACCGGCUAACUCCGUGCCAGCAGCCGAGGUAAUACGGAGGGUGCAAGCGUUAAUCGGAAUUACUGGGCGUAAAGCGCACGCAGGCGGUCUGUCAAGUCGGAUGUGAAAUCCCCGGGCUCAACCUGGGAACUGCAUCCGAAACUGGCAGGCUUGAGUCUUGUAGAGGGGGGUAGAAUUCCAGGUGUAGCGGUGAAAUGCGUAGAGAUCUGGAGGAAUACCGGUGGCGAAGGCGGCCCCCUGGACAAAGACUGACGCUCAGGUGCGAAAGCGUGGGGAGCAAACA
This 427-nucleotide ribosomal RNA is filed under the name uncultured bacterium. Its description in RNAcentral is "partial 16S ribosomal RNA". It matches the Rfam family "Bacterial small subunit ribosomal RNA", at positions 355 to 774 of the family's 1533-position model. The record is from RNAcentral.